UACGUAGGUGGCAAGCGUUGUCCGGAUUUAUUGGGCGUAAAGCGCGCGCAGGCGGUUCGUUAAGUCCGAGGUGAAAUCUCCCGGCUCAACUGGGAGGGGUCUUCGGAUACUGGCGGACUUGAGGAGAGCAGAGGUGAGUGGAAUUCUGGGUGUAGUGGUGAAAUGCGUAGAUAUCCAGAGGAACACCAGUGGCGAAGGCGGCUCACUGGGCUCCACCUGACGCUGAGGCGCGAAAGCGUGGGGAGCGAACCGG
RNAcentral lists this ribosomal RNA (253 nucleotides) under uncultured bacterium. RNAcentral's name for it is "partial 16S ribosomal RNA". It matches the Rfam family "Bacterial small subunit ribosomal RNA", at positions 524 to 776 of the family's 1533-position model. The record is from RNAcentral.